UUCGGGGUGCUCGAGUGGCGAACGGGUGAGUAACACGUGGGUGAUCUGCCCUGCACUUUGGGAUAAGCCUGGGAAACUGGGUCUAAUACCGAAUAGGACUCCGGCCUUCAUGGGUUGGGGUGGAAAGCUUUUGCGGUGUGGGAUGGGCCCGCGGCCUAUCAGCUUGUUGGUGGGGUAAUGGCCUACCAAGGCGACGACGGGUAGCCGGCCUGAGAGGGUGACCGGCCACACUGGGACUGAGAUACGGCCCAGACUCCUACGGGAGGCAGCAGUGGGGAAUAUUGCACAAUGGGCGCAAGCCUGAUGCAGCGACGCCGCGUGAGGGAUGACGGCCUUCGGGUUGUAAACCUCUUUCAGCACAGACGAAGCGCAAGUGACGGUAUGUGCAGAAGAAGGACCGGCCAACUACGUGCCAGCAGCCGCGGUAAUACGUAGGGUCCGAGCGUUGUCCGGAAUUACUGGGCGUAAAGAGCUCGUAGGUGGUUUGUCGCGUUGUUCGUGAAAACUCACAGCUUAACUGUGGGCGUGCGGGCGAUACGGGCAGACUGGAGUACUGCAGGGGAGACUGGAAUUCCUGGUGUAGCGGUGGAAUGCGCAGAUAUCAGGAGGAACACCGGUGGCGAAGGCGGGUCUCUGGGCAGUAACUGACGCUGAGGAGCGAAAGCGUGGGGAGCGAACAGGAUUAGAUACCCUGGUAGUCCACGCCGUAAACGGUGGGUACUAGGUGUGGGUUUCCUUCCUUGGGAUCCGUGCCGUAGCUAACGCA
RNAcentral lists this ribosomal RNA (766 nucleotides) under Mycolicibacterium cosmeticum. Its description in RNAcentral is "bacterial SSU rRNA". It matches the Rfam family "Bacterial small subunit ribosomal RNA", at positions 81 to 859 of the family's 1533-position model. The record is from RNAcentral. Lineage: Bacteria; Bacillati; Actinomycetota; Actinomycetes; Mycobacteriales; Mycobacteriaceae.